RNAcentral lists this ribosomal RNA (441 nucleotides) under uncultured bacterium. Its description in RNAcentral is "bacterial SSU rRNA". It matches the Rfam family "Bacterial small subunit ribosomal RNA", at positions 339 to 796 of the family's 1533-position model. The record is from RNAcentral.
CUACGGGAGGCAGCAGCGAGGAAUAUUGCACAAUGGGGGCAACCCUGAUGCAGUAACGCCGCGUGCGGGAAGAAGACCUUCGGGUUGUAAACCGCUUUUUUAGAGGACGAGCGAGGACGGUACUUUAAGAACAAGUCUCGGCUAACUACGUGCCAGCAGCCGCGGUAAGACGUAGGAGGCGAGCGUUAUCCGGAUUCACUGGGCGUAAAGCGCAUGUAGGCGGCUGACUAAGUCGUGUGUUAAAGCCCCCGGCUCAACUGGGGGAGGUCAUGCGAGACUAGCCGGCUGGAGGGCAGCAGAGGAGCGUGGAACUCCCGGUGUAGCGGUGGAAUGCGUAGAGAUCGGGAAGAACACCAGUGGCGAAGGCGGCGCUCUGGGCUGCACCUGACGCUGAGAUGCGAAAGUGUGGGGAGCAAACGGGAUUAGAAACCCUGGUAGUCC